RNAcentral lists this ribosomal RNA (414 nucleotides) under uncultured microorganism. RNAcentral describes it as "bacterial SSU rRNA". It matches the Rfam family "Archaeal small subunit ribosomal RNA", at positions 459 to 872 of the family's 1478-position model. The record is from RNAcentral.
CAGCCGCCGCGGUAAUACCGGCGGCCCGAGUGGCGGUCACUAUUAUUGGGCUUAAAGCGUCCGUAGCCGGGUUGGGAAGUCCUCCGGGAAAUCUGGCCGCUUAACGGUCAGAAUGCCGGAGGAUACUCCCAGCCUAGGGAGCGGGGGAGGCCGAGGGGAUUCCCGGAGUAGGGGGGAAAUCCUAUAAUCCCGGGAGGACCACCUGUGGCGAAGGCGCUCGGCUGGAACGCGUCCGACGGUGAGGGACGAAGGCCAGGGGAGCAAACCGGAUUAGAUACCCGGGUAGUCCUGGCUGUAAACGAUGCGGACUUUGUGUCGGACAAGCUAUGAGCUUGUCCGGUGCCGGAGGGAAACCGUUAAGUCCGCCGCCUGGGGAGUACGGCCGCAAGGCUGAAACUUAAAGGAAUUGGCGGG